UAGGGAAUCUUCGGCAAUGGGGGCAACCCUGACCGAGCAACGCCGCGUGAGUGAAGAAGGUUUUCGGAUCGUAAAGCUCUGUUGUAAGUCAAGAACGAGUGUGAGAGUGGAAAGUUCACACUGUGACGGUAGCUUACCAGAAAGGGACGGCUAACUACGUGCCAGCAGCCGCGGUAAUACGUAGGUCCCGAGCGUUGUCCGGAUUUAUUGGGCGUAAAGCGAGCGCAGGCGGUUUGAUAAGUCUGAAGUUAAAGGCUGUGGCUCAACCAUAGUUCGCUUUGGAAACUGUCAAACUUGAGUGCAGAAGGGGAGAGUGGAAUUCCAUGUGUAGCGGUGAAAUGCGUAGAUAUAUGGAGGAACACCGGUGGCGAAAGCGGCUCUCUGGUCUGUAACUGACGCUGAGGCUCGAAAGCGUGGGGAGCGAACAGGAUUAGAUACCCUGGUAGUCCACGCCGUNNCGAUGAGUGCUAGGUGUUGGAUCCUUUCCGGGAUUCAGUGCCGCAGCUAACGCAUUAAGCACUCCGCCUGGGGAGUACNACCGCAAGGNUG
This 549-nucleotide ribosomal RNA is filed under the name uncultured bacterium. RNAcentral's name for it is "bacterial SSU rRNA". It matches the Rfam family "Bacterial small subunit ribosomal RNA", at positions 355 to 896 of the family's 1533-position model. The record is from RNAcentral.